UGGAACGCUGCAAGACGAGAUAUGGCACAAGUUGUUAUGUGUGGUUGAAGAUGUGGAAAGAUUUGGGCAGAGUGAAUGGGGGAAUGUAUAAUGUAAGAUCUGUAUGUAAGGUUAGUGAAGAGAAUUAUGUGAAGACCUUGCUGCAGAGGCUGUUUAAUAUGGUUCUGAUAGUGUCGGGUUGCUGAGCUUCAUGUGAGGAAGACAGCGGUUAGUGAAAAGGUUCGAGUGGAGUGAAGGAAACUGAGCUCUGGAAGACGAGAUAUAGUACAAGUUCUUUAUGGAAGGUCACAACUAUGGAAAGGUUUGUGUGGAGUGAAGGAAACUGAGCUCUUAAAGAUGAGAUAUAGUACAAGUUCUUUAUGGGAGGUUACAACUAUGGAAAGGUUUGUGUGGAGUGAAGGAAACUGAGCUCUGGAAGACGAGAUAUAGUACAAGUUUUUUAUGGAAGGUCACAACUAUGGAAAGGUUUGUGUGGAGUGAAGGAAACUGAGCUCUUAAAGAUGAGAUAUAGUACAAGUUCUUUAUGGAAGGUCACAACUAUGGAAAGGUUUGUGUGGAGUGAAGGAAACUGAGCUCUUAAAGAUGAGAUAUAGUACAAGUUCUUUAUGGAAGGUCACAACUAUGGAAAGGUUUGUGUGGAGUGAAGGAAACUGAGCUCUGGAAGACGAGAUAAAGUACAAGUUCUGUAUGGGAGGUUACAACAAUGGAAAGGUUUGUGUGGAGUGAAGGAAACUGAGCUCUGGAAGACGAGAUAUAGUACAAGUUCUGUAUGGGAGGUUACAACAAUGGAAAGGUUUGUGUGGAGUGCAGGAACGUGAAAAUCUUUGUGAGGCGGUACAAUGCAAGUUUUUUUUAUAUAAAUCAAGAUCUGUGGAAGGAUUUGUGAAAUGUAAAUGAAUGUGAAAUUCCUAAAGACAAGAUAUGCCACUUUCUUAU
Molecule: long non-coding RNA, 936 nt
Organism: Eriocheir sinensis (Chinese mitten crab)
Lineage: Eukaryota; Metazoa; Arthropoda; Malacostraca; Decapoda; Varunidae
Exons: 3
Source: RefSeq, a predicted model, not a curated record